AAUAGAUACCCGGGUAGUCCACGCCAUAAACGAUGAGCACUAGGUGUCGCGGGUAUUGACCCCUGCGGUGCCGCCGCUAACGCAUUAAGUGCUCCGCCUGGGGACUACGGCCGCAAGGUUAAAACUCAAAGGAAUUGACGGGGGGCCCGCACAAGCGGUGGAGCAUGUGGUUCAAUUCGACGCAACGCGCAGAACCUUACCUGGGCUAGACAACAUCGGACAGUCCUAGAGAUAGGAUCUUCCCUUCGGGGACCGGUGGUUCAGGUGCUGCAUGGCUGUCGUCAGCUCGUGUCGUGAGAUGUUGGGUUAAGUCCCGCAACGAGCGCAACCCUUGCCCUUAGUUGCCAUCAGGUAAAGCUGGGCACUCUAAGGGGACUGCCGGCGUUAAGCAGGAGGAAGGUGGGGGAUGACGUCAAGUCCUCAUGGCCCUUAUGUCCAGGGCUACACACGUGCUACAAUGGACGGUACAAAGGGCAGCAAACCCGCGAGGGGGAGGCCAAUCCCAAAAAGACCGUUCUCAGUUCGGAUUGGAGU
RNAcentral lists this ribosomal RNA (534 nucleotides) under uncultured bacterium. RNAcentral describes it as "bacterial SSU rRNA". It matches the Rfam family "Bacterial small subunit ribosomal RNA", at positions 777 to 1304 of the family's 1533-position model. The record is from RNAcentral.